Molecule: ribosomal RNA, 807 nt
Filed under: Escherichia coli
Lineage: Bacteria; Pseudomonadati; Pseudomonadota; Gammaproteobacteria; Enterobacterales; Enterobacteriaceae
Description: partial 23S ribosomal RNA
Rfam family: Bacterial large subunit ribosomal RNA
Source: RNAcentral
GUGUAGGAUAGGUGGGAGGCUUUGAAGUGUGGACGCCAGUCUGCAUGGAGCCGACCUUGAAAUACCACCCUUUAAUGUUUGAUGUUCUAACGUGGGCCCCUUACCGGGGUUGCGGACAGUGUCUGGUGGGUAGUUUGACUGGGGCGGUCUCCUCCUAAAGAGUAACGGAGGAGCACGAAGGUUGGCUAAUCCUGGUCGGACAUCAGGAGGUUAGUGCAAUGGCAUAAGCCAGCUUGACUGCGAGCGUGACGGCGCGAGCAGGUGCGAAAGCAGGUCAUAGUGAUCCGGUGGUUCUGAAUGGAAGGGCCAUCGCUCAACGGAUAAAAGGUACUCCGGGGAUAACAGGCUGAUACCGCCCAAGAGUUCAUAUCGACGGCGGUGUUUGGCACCUCGAUGUCGGCUCAUCACAUCCUGGGGCUGAAGUAGGUCCCAAGGGUAUGGCUGUUCGCCAUUUAAAGUGGUACGCGAGCUGGGUUUAGAACGUCGUGAGACAGUUCGGUCCCUAUCUGCCGUGGGCGCUGGAGAACUGAGGGGGGCUGCUCCUAGUACGAGAGGACCGGAGUGGACGCAUCACUGGUGUUCGGGUUGUCAUGCCAAUGGCACUGCCCGGUAGCUAAAUGCGGAAGAGAUAAGUGCUGAAAGCAUCUAAGCACGAAACUUGCCCCGAGAUGAGUUCUCCCUGACUCCUUGAGAGUCCUGAAGGAACGUUGAAGACGACGACGUUGAUAGGCCGGGUGUGUAAGCGCAGCGAUGCGUUGAGCUAACCGGUACUAAUGAACCGUGAGGCUUAACCUUACAACGCCGAAG